RNAcentral lists this long non-coding RNA (531 nucleotides) under Homo sapiens (human). RNAcentral describes it as "HSALNT0324879". The record is from RNAcentral. Lineage: Eukaryota; Metazoa; Chordata; Mammalia; Primates; Hominidae.
GUUUGUUUAUCACAGAUGAAAAAGAACAAAGACAAAAACAAAACUAUUUUGGUGCUUUAAAACAUCAUGAUCGGUAACCAGGUUCUACUCUACACAAGAAAACUUUCUAGGAUCGCACCCUCCCAAACGGCAUGCUAACAGUUGUUUCUUGAUCGAAGAUAUCUGUGAUCAAACAAGUUCCAGAAAUGCAGGAUUGGACCGAGCAAGGCAGCAAACCCUGCAAUUUGCUUUUGAAUCCUACAACGGAGUACUUGGAUGGAUGGGGUGGUUGCAGGAUGCCUUUGAAGGAUACUUGUGAAGGUGGAACCACCGUGGCUUGGAAGCUUCGCAGAUGUCGCUGUCUCCAAGGAUCAAUUGCAAACACAAUGACCUGAUGAGCAGAGAAAUCCCAUCUUAGAAAAAAAGAGAGAGCUGAGUCUACAGAGCCGCUACUUAGGAGUCUGACUUCAUAAUCAAUUGUGAAAUGUGGAAUAUAAUAGAAAUUUAAAUUCUAUCUACAUUAUGUUAGGGUUAAUAAAAAAAAAGGGCAUA